GACGAACGCUGGCGGCGUGCUUAACACAUGCAAGUCGGACGGUCGGCACUGGAAGGUUCGCUGGAAGGUGCCGGUAGUGGCGGACGGGUGAGUAACGCGUGAGGACAUGGCUCCAGGAGGGGGAUAACGUUUGGAAACGGACGCUAAGACCCCAUAUGCCGGAAGGUGAAAGUGGGCAACCAGCCUGGAGAGUGACUCGCGUCCUAUCAGCUAGUUGGCGGGGUGAAGGCCCACCAAGGCGAUGACGGGUAGCCGACCUGAGAGGGUGGCCGGCCACACUGGAACUGAGAUACGGUCCAGACUCCUACGGGAGGCAGCAGUGGGGAAUAUUGGGCAAUGGGCGCAAGCCUGACCCAGCAACGCCGCGUGAGGGAAGAAGGCUUUCGGGUUGUAAACCUCU
This 400-nucleotide ribosomal RNA is filed under the name uncultured bacterium. RNAcentral describes it as "bacterial SSU rRNA". It matches the Rfam family "Bacterial small subunit ribosomal RNA", at positions 28 to 434 of the family's 1533-position model. The record is from RNAcentral.